GUUUCAAAUUGUGGGCAGACCAAAGUCCGCUUGUCAUUCUUUAGUUCAAAAGAGUCUAUUGGAACGCGACCUCGGGCACGCGAGCUUUCGCCUGCGAGGCCCCGGCCGUAAAGGAGCACGGUGGGUUUGUUGUGUUAGAGUCAGGUCGCGGCAGCCCGCUUCAACGACCUUUGACGGUCGGAGCGGUGUGCCGAUCCCCUCCUCAGAGAUACGUUAAUGAUCCUUCCGCAGGUUCACCUACGGAAA
Molecule: unclassified non-coding RNA, 246 nt
Filed under: uncultured fungus
Lineage: Eukaryota; Fungi
Description: sequence contains ITS1
Source: RNAcentral